AUGCGGCUGGCGGCUGUUAUUAGCACAAUCAUCUCCCCCACGCAAUCUGCAUUCCAGAGAACCAAGUGCAUUCAUGAUAGCUUCCUUUUUGUCCAAAGCAGAGUCCGUGCCCUGCACCGCAGCAAAACCCCUGCCCCGCUGCUCAAGCUUGAUAUCGCAAAAGCUUUCAAUAGUGUUUCCUGGGAGUACAUCUUAGAACUGCUCCAGAAAUUGGGCUUUCCGCCAAGAUGGAGGGACUGGAUCGCGCUGCUUCUUGCAACUUCCUCGUCGUCCUGCCUGCUCAAUGGCAUCCCUGGAAACAAGUUCUUCCACCUUCGCGGCCUCCGUCAGGGCGACCCGUUAUCGCUGCUACUGUUCAUCCUCUGCAUCGACCCCUUACAUCGACUGCUCGAGGCGGCCACUAGAGACGGCAUCCUGCAACCCAUCCCUGGGAGGGGCGCUCGCAUGCGCACCAGCUUGUACGCGGACGACGCAGUAAUCUUCAUUAACCCAGUGCGCCAGGAAAUAGACAAGCUCCUCCACAUCCUGCAUUGUUUCAGCGAGGUCACUGGCCUAAAGGUGAACCAAGCAAAAUCCUCGGUCGUCCCGAUCGCCUGCGAC
This 600-nucleotide ribosomal RNA is filed under the name Triticum aestivum (bread wheat). RNAcentral describes it as "partial small subunit ribosomal RNA". The record is from RNAcentral. Lineage: Eukaryota; Viridiplantae; Streptophyta; Magnoliopsida; Poales; Poaceae.